AGUGUGUGUGUGUGUGUGUGUGUGUGUGUGCGCGCGCGUGCGCGUGCACACACACACACACACACACACGCUCU
Podarcis lilfordi (Lilford's wall lizard) is the source of this 74-nucleotide non-coding RNA. The record is from the annotation of a GenBank genome assembly. Lineage: Eukaryota; Metazoa; Chordata; Lepidosauria; Squamata; Lacertidae.